RNAcentral lists this ribosomal RNA (423 nucleotides) under uncultured Bacteroidota bacterium. RNAcentral's name for it is "uncultured Bacteroidetes bacterium partial 16S ribosomal RNA". It matches the Rfam family "Bacterial small subunit ribosomal RNA", at positions 355 to 774 of the family's 1533-position model. The record is from RNAcentral. Lineage: Bacteria; Pseudomonadati; Bacteroidota.
UAAGGAAUAUUGGGCAAUGGGCGCAAGCCUGACCCAGCCAUGCCGCGUGAAGGAUGACGGCCCUACGGGUUGUAAACUUCUUUUGUACGGGAAAAAACCCCCGGUUUCGCACCGGGGUUGAUGGUACCGUAAGAAUAAGCAUCGGCUAACUCCGUGCCAGCAGCCGCGGUAAUACGGAGGAUGCAAGCGUUAUCCGGAUUCAUUGGGUUUAAAGGGUGCGCAGGCGGAAUGAUAAGUCAGUGGUGAAAUCCUACAGCUUAACUGUAGAACUGCCAUUGAUACUGUCGUUCUUGAGUACACUUGAAGUGGGCGGAAUGUGUCAUGUAGCGGUGAAAUGCUUAGAUAUGACACAGAACACCGAUUGCGAAGGCAGCUCACUAAGUUGUAACUGACGCUCAGGCACGAAAGCGUGGGGAUCAAACA